Molecule: long non-coding RNA, 543 nt
Organism: Eptesicus fuscus (big brown bat)
Lineage: Eukaryota; Metazoa; Chordata; Mammalia; Chiroptera; Vespertilionidae
Exons: 3
Source: RefSeq, a predicted model, not a curated record
CUAUCUUAAGAAUUUUUCUCAGAAAAUUAGAGUUAUUCCUCUACUUUCUGGCCCAUGUAUUUUAGUGCACAGUGGAAUGAGGGUCAUUUUUUUUUUUUAAGAUGACAUCACAGUCACCUUCUGGAAUGUUGCCGAUCCUCCUGGAGCGGGUGUGCCGGUCGGUCGCAUACUCUAGCCCUAAGAUCAACACACAAAUGUACCUGCUGCUCAGAAUCCUCACCACCAUCAGGUGGCUCACACUCAGAUUCACCUAGCCAUCUUACUCCUGAAAACUUGGUCCAAGUCAUCAUCAUCUCUUAUAUGGGUGACUUCAAAGGCCUUCUCACUGGAUCUCUCUGCUUCUCCUUUGGACUAAUAAUUUCUUCUCAGCCCAGGAGCCAGUGUUAUCCUUCUAGAAUGAGAAUAUCAAGCGUAUCAGGAAGUACAAGAGUCCCAGAGAAGACAGGGAAUAAAUACACCACAUCUUCCUGCAUCCUGUUUCCCUCAGUGGAGAUAAAUAGAAAGCCUUGUGACAUUAAAAUAAAAUAAAUUGUAGAACAUCGU